This 488-nucleotide long non-coding RNA is filed under the name Numida meleagris (helmeted guineafowl). RNAcentral describes it as "lncRNA (ENSNMEG00000010569.1)". The record is from RNAcentral. Lineage: Eukaryota; Metazoa; Chordata; Aves; Galliformes; Numididae.
CUUCUGUAUGAAUAAGACUUCAGACUUCACACCUCACUAGUGCUGCACUGAAUUUCCAAGUGCAUACGGCGUGAGCUAUAGGCUACACUCUUCCACUUACCUCAUUGACAAGUAAGAGGCCCAAAGUUUGCUUCAACAGAUAUCCAACAUUUCAGCAGAAGGACACCAGGACACUACUCUCUGUAUGCUUUUCCUCUUCAAGGUCACCACAGGACUGGGGCAUGGAGACUGCAGCAACAGCCAGCAGAGCUGACAGAGUGAAGGACCAGCUCCCUCCAUCCCAGUGAACACGUGAAUCCAAGCUGCAGCUGCAGCUUAAUACUCCCCUAGGCCUCAAAGGGACCAUAGCUUCACCAGGCCUAAAACCAGUAGUAACUGGAAUGAAAAAAGCUGUAUGGAGGCUGCAGGACCAAUUCUGCCCACCCAAAGGCUUCCUCGUCUGCCCAUGGACCCCACUGGCUUGCACUCUGGAAAUCUAUGAGUCGUGA